Molecule: ribosomal RNA, 495 nt
Filed under: uncultured bacterium
Lineage: Bacteria
Description: partial 16S ribosomal RNA
Rfam family: Bacterial small subunit ribosomal RNA
Source: RNAcentral
GACGAACGCUGGCGGCGUGCCUAAUACAUGCAAGUAGAACGCUGAAGGAGGAGCUUGCUUCUCUGGAUGAGUUGCGAACGGGUGAGUAACGCGUAGGUAACCUGCCUGGUAGCGGGGGAUAACUAUUGGAAACGAUAGCUAAUACCGCAUAAUAGUAGAUGUCGCAUGACAUUUGCUUAAAAGGUGCAAUUGCAUCACUACCAGAUGGACCUGCGUUGUAUUAGCUAGUUGGUGAGGUAACGGCUCACCAAGGCAACGAUACAUAGCCGACCUGAGAGGGGGAUCCGCCCAACUGGGACUGGGACAAGGCCCAGACCCCUACGGGAGGCAGCAGGAGGGAAUCUUCGGCAAUGGACGGAAGGCUGACCGAGAAACGCCGGGUGAGUGAAGAAGGGUUUCGGAUCGUAAAGCUCUGUUGUAAGAGAAGAACGAGUGUGAGAGUGGAAAGUUCACACUGUGACGGUAUCUUACCAGAAAGGGACGGCUAACUACGUG